CGGAGUGUAGGUCAUCGGUAGACCGCCGGCAUCGGGAGCCGGAAGCAGCUGGGUUCAAUUCCCGCCACUCCGA
Molecule: transfer RNA, 73 nt
Filed under: Candidatus Daviesbacteria bacterium
Lineage: Bacteria; Candidatus Daviesiibacteriota
Description: tRNA-Pro
Rfam family: tRNA
About the family: Transfer RNA (tRNA) molecules are approximately 80 nucleotides in length. Their secondary structure includes four short double-helical elements and three loops (D, anti-codon, and T loops). Further hydrogen bonds mediate the characteristic L-shaped molecular structure. tRNAs have two regions of fundamental functional importance: the anti-codon, which is responsible for specific mRNA codon recognition, and the 3' end, to which the tRNAs corresponding amino acid is attached (by aminoacyl-tRNA synthetases). tRNAs cope with the degeneracy of the genetic code in two manners: having more than one tRNA (with a specific anti-codon) for a particular amino acid; and 'wobble' base-pairing, i.e. permitting non-standard base-pairing at the 3rd anti-codon position.
Source: RNAcentral